UUAGGCGGACGGGUGAGUAACGACGUGGAAAACCUAGCCGUAUACUGGGGGAGUAACACUUAGAAAUAGGUGCUAAUACCGCAUAAGCGCACAGCUUCGCAUGAAGCGGUGUGAAAAACUCUGGUGGUAUACGAUGGUUCCGCGUCUGAUUAGCUAGUUGGUGGGGUAAUGGCCUACCAAGGCAACGAUCAGUAGCCGGCCUGAGAGGGUGAACGGCCACAUUGGGACUGAGACACGGCCCAAACUCCUACGGAAGGCAGCAG
Molecule: ribosomal RNA, 263 nt
Filed under: uncultured bacterium
Lineage: Bacteria
Description: partial 16S ribosomal RNA
Rfam family: Bacterial small subunit ribosomal RNA
Source: RNAcentral